This 270-nucleotide ribosomal RNA is filed under the name uncultured archaeon. RNAcentral describes it as "partial 16S ribosomal RNA". It matches the Rfam family "Archaeal small subunit ribosomal RNA", at positions 477 to 747 of the family's 1478-position model. The record is from RNAcentral.
CAGCACCUCAAGUGGUCAGGAUGAUUAUUGGGCCUAAAGCAUCCGUAGCCGGCUCUGUAAGUUUUCGGUUAAAUCUGUAUGCUCAACAUACAGGCUGCCGGGAAUACUGCAGAGCUAGGGAGUGGGAGAGGUAGACGGUACUCGGUAGGAAGGGGUAAAAUCCUUUGACCUAUUGAUGACCACCUGUGGCGAAGGCGGUCUACCAGAACACGUCCGACGGUGAGGGAUGAAAGCUGGGGGAGCAAACCGGAUUAGAUACCCCAGUAGUCC